CUUCUUAAGAUAUAUUUAAGAUAUUUCCUGCUCGGUGUUCGUAUAAACAGCCGCAGUAACUUGACUGUGCUAAGGUAGCAUAAUCAUUUGGCUAUUAAUUAUAGUCUGGCAUGAAAGGGGGGACGUGGGUAAACUAUUGGGAGUAUUACUAUGAAGUUAGUUAUUUGGUGAAAAUACCAAAACAAGAUAAAAAAGACGAGAAGACCCUAGGAGUUAAUAGUUAAGUUUGUUGGGGCAACAGAGGAUAAGAUCUUUGACAAUAAGUUACGACGCAGUAAGUACUAGUAACUACCCUAGGGAUAACAGCACAAUUGAUGUAUCAGCUUGUGACCUCGAUGUUGGACUAGGAAAUUUUUUGUCUAGAAGACGAAAUUCUGUACUCUGUUCGAGUAAUAGUUUCCU
Molecule: ribosomal RNA, 402 nt
Filed under: Odostomia hirotamurana
Lineage: Eukaryota; Metazoa; Mollusca; Gastropoda; Pyramidellidae
Description: partial 16S ribosomal RNA
Rfam family: Bacterial large subunit ribosomal RNA
Source: RNAcentral